Molecule: ribosomal RNA, 632 nt
Filed under: uncultured bacterium
Lineage: Bacteria
Description: bacterial SSU rRNA
Rfam family: Bacterial small subunit ribosomal RNA
Source: RNAcentral
AGAGUUUGAUCAUGGCUCAGAUUGAACGCUGGCGGAAUGCUUUACACAUGCAAGUCGAACGGGCUUAAGGGGCUUGCUCCUUAAGUUAGUGGCGAACGGGUGAGUAAUAUAUCGGAACGUGUCCAAUAAUGGGGGAUAACUAACCGAAAGGUUAGCUAAUACCGCAUACGCCCUACGGGGGAAAGCAGGGGAUCUUCGGACCUUGCGUUAAUGGAGCGGCCGAUAUCUGAUUAGCUAGUUGGUGGGGUAAAGGCCCACCAAGGCGACGAUCAGUAGCUGGUCUGAGAGGACGACCAGCCACACUGGAACUGAGACACGGUCCAGACUCCUACGGGAGGCAGCAGUGGGGAAUUUUGGACAAUGGGCGAAAGCCUGAUCCAGCCGUUCCGCGUGAGUGAAGAAGGCCUUCGGGUUGUAAAGCUCUUUCGCAAGGAAAGAAAACUUAUCCUCGAAUAAAGGAUGAGGUUGACGGUACCUUGAUAAGAAGCACCGGCUAACUACGUGCCAGCAGCCGCGGUAAUACGUAGGGUGCGAGCGUUAAUCGGAAUUACUGGGCGUAAAGCGUGCGCAGGCGGUUUGUAAGUCAGAUGUGAAUCCCGGCUCACCUGGAACUGCGUUGAACUACAAGCUAA